Molecule: long non-coding RNA, 5384 nt
Filed under: Oryza sativa (Asian cultivated rice)
Lineage: Eukaryota; Viridiplantae; Streptophyta; Magnoliopsida; Poales; Poaceae
Description: long non-coding RNA (OSAT_LNC000529)
Source: RNAcentral
GUUCUUGGCGGCGUCGCCGAUGAGCCUCUCGGUGUCGGUGAAGGCCACGUACGACGGCGUGGUGCGGUUGCCCUGGUCGUUGGCGAUGAUCUCCACCCUGUCAUGCUGCCACACGCCGACGCACGAGUAGGUCGUGCCGAGGUCGAUGCCGAUCGCAGGGCCCUCUCCCUUGUUGCCCGCCAUCUUUCUUCUCUUCCGAUCAAAUCAAAUCAAGCUCUCCGCUGAUGAACGAUCGAGUUGUGUUGUUGCUCUUCUGAUUCGCUCGCGCUGGGACGAUUUUGCUCUGUUUUUUUUCGCUUCGAUCUCUCGACUUUGGUGGGGGAGAAAGGCAAAGGGAGGGGAUUUGCUUAUAUAGGAGCAGAGCGGCGCGGCGUUCACGAAUGUUCGAGUAGGGGCGUGAUGUGGGUGGCGCGAAUAGGCGGAGGCGGUUUCGGCUCGGGGCCGGGCUUAAGGCUUGUGGAGGGUUCGGGUGUUGUGGCGCGCGCACGGGACGUCUCCAGAACGGUGCGGGGGGAUGGUGAUCUCUCUCGGUUCGCUCGCAGGUUUCGUGCGGCGGGUGGUUGGUGGGUUGGGUGCGACGACGUGAGAUCUUCUUUUGGUUUCCUUUGGGAGGUUGGUCCGUCCGGCUCGACCGCUCGAGCGGGUUCCCGCGCCAAGUGGAAAACGCUGGAGUUAUGUAUAGCGUCUGUGCCUUCUUGGAGACGGCUUUUGCUUUUUUUUUUUUCCUUUUUCUCUUACGUUUCGCCACCUGGAACGUAUAGAAAGAGAUGGUAGAUGGAAGGAGCCUUGUACGAGCCUGUUUGAGGAAUUUUUUUCAUUUUUAAUUUUAAUUUUUUUAAUAUUUAUAGAAAUAUUAUACCAUCCAAAAUAUUUACACAAUGGCCCCUGCCGUCCAAGUGGAGGGCUGCAAGGUGUGCGCAUUUUGCACUUAGGUCCUUUGCCGCCCUCUACAAAGGCUGCAAGGGAGUAAAUGCAAUUUUCGCCCUACCAAAAAUAUAUUUUCUAGUUUUUUUUUUCAACUUGUCCGUCCCUCGCGUCACCCUGCCACUCUCAGAGAGGGCGGUAGGGUCUAUUUCUGUAAAUAUUUUCGUCGGUACAAUAUUUCUGUAAAUAUUAAAAAAUAAAAAAUGAAAAAUGGAAAAAAAAUUCCCUCUGUUUGCGCAGGUGCUAUGCGUGCCGGGCCAGUCCGGUGUUCGUGCAGAGGCUCGACAGUGGUUAGCCGUUGGGCUGUGCCUGUGGCAGGCUGACAGCAUCACCUAUGUAGGCCCUUAGCUGUAGUUCAUGGGCCGGAACACGGUAGCAUAUGGCCAUGGGACCAUGCAUAUCGUCACUUAGGGCAGGCCUAAAUUAGGCUUGUCAAAUUUUUUUGCAACCUUAACAAUAAUUGUGUAUGUUUUUGACAUGCCUAUAUAACAUAGGCCAUUUUAAUAGCCAAAUUAGUUUAAUUUGGCUUCAAUCCAAACACAUGUUGGCCUUACCAAAAACAUUGGUCACAAAACAAACUGGCCCUUAGUCUCUCUAUUUGUCGGUCAGUCCUAUUUUCGUCCCUUAACUACAAAACCGAAUACGAUCCAUCCCCCAACUUACGAAAACCGGGCAAACGAGGUCCCUCGGUGGUAUGAAGGGCGGUUUUGGCCGAUGAGACGCCUACGUAGCUCCUUUGACUAUGUCUUCGUCCCACGUGGCAUCCACGUAUCGCUUACAUGGCAAUUUUAUCCCAAAAAAUAAUAAAAAUCGUGGGACCAUAUAUCAGCUACACAAAAAAUAAUUCCUCUCUCUCCGAGCCGGAGCAGGCGACGACUGGGGCGGAGCGGCUGACCGGCUGAGCGGGGUGGGACAGGGCGGGGCAGGCCGCAGCUAGAGCAGGCCGGCAGAGCGGCGUCGGCCGGAGCAGGCGAGGGGCAAGGCGGCGCUCCACGCGGCUCCAGCAGGCGGCGGCCGCGGCACAGACGAGGGGCAAGGCGACGGAGGACGACAACAACAACGCCGGCGCCGCAGGCGAGAGGUUGGCCGUGGUGGCGCCCAUCCUCGCCGCCGACGCGGCCCUCCAAGCUGCCGAUGUCCUCGUCAUCGUCGUCUUUCACGACGGACCCACUGGCGGAGUUCCUCUGCUCAAUCUCCGGCACGCUCGCCUUCUUCCCGCCGGCUGUCACCGUCGACCUCUCCGCGCUCCCCUCCGCCUCCUCCCCACCUUGCCGAGGUUGCCGCCCACCGUCGGUUCGCUCCGCCACCUCCCGCCUCGCUCGCCUGCUCCGUCAUUCUCCUCGCCGCCCACCCGCCCUUCCCUUUCGUGCAGAUCCAGGCCGACGCCCUCUCUGCUGCCGUCCCUCUUCUCGCCGCCGCCCCUCUGCUCUGUCGCCGCCGGCCACACGCCUUGUGGAGCUCGAGGCAGGUGUUGCGCUCUCGGUCGCGGAGAGGACACCCCCCGUGAAGUCCUCUAGCGUGCAUGGGUGCGCGAUGUGCAGCGCGGAGGGGACGCGCUUGUGAAGUCCUCCCGCGUGUUCAAGAGCUACUAGCGGCGAGCGGCGGCCUGAGGAGAUAACCCGCCACAGUUGCCGCGCUCGCCGGCGACCUCCUUCUCUUCCUCCUCCUUCGGCUACCUCUGCCGCCGCUGUUCCGCCGGCAUGCUUCGGCCGCCGUCGUCAUCAGAGACGGUGGGGACUGGGAUGACGACGACAACGAUGGCGGCGAUGGCUGUGAGGUGGCGCUGCGGUGCGAUGAGGAAGAGGAGGGAGAGCCAAGAGGGAAGAGGAUGACAUGUGGGGCCCACCCACCAUAUUUAUUUUGUUGUGUAGCUGAUAUCUGGGCCCAUGGCUUUUAUUAUUUUUCCGAUAUAUAAUUGCCAUGUAAGUGUCAUGUCAAUGCUAUAGGAUGAAGACCUAGUUAAACUAGUUAAACUAGCCACGUAGACGUCAUGUCAGCCAAAACCGCUAUCUAAACCGUACUAGUUUUGUAAGUUAGAAAAUACGUUUUAGUUUUGUAAGUUGGAAAAUAAGUUGUAUCUAAUUUUACGGUUCAGGAACGAGUUUUGUAAGUUGGAAAAUAAGUUGUAUCUAAUUUUACGGUUCAGGAACGAAAAUCAUACUGACGACAAAUUGAGGGAUAAAGUGAACUUAUUCCUAUCCUUACCCAUGUGAUUCAUGAUUGAACACAUCAUACAUCAAACAUGGCCAUUUUUUCUCGUUUGGACUUUGGAGUACAGACCACAACCAACGAGAUCACAGUUUUAUUCCAUAUAUCAACAGAUCAGUGGAGAACAGUUCACAUUAUUGAACAUACACGGCUAAAAUCCCCCAACCGAGCAGGCGCAUGGCCGCUACGCGCGGACGUGGCUGCCCAUGCGCACGAUGAUCCCGUCGAUGUCCCUGACGUACCCGACCUUCUGGCCCCAGCUCUUCUGCUCCGGCGGGCUCACCGGCACGGCGCCGCUGUCCACGGCCCGCCGGUACGCCGCGUCGACGUCCGCGUAGUCGAAGCAGAUCUCCACGGGCCCCCGCUCGCCGGCCGAGUCCGGCAGCUGCACCGCGCCCGUCAGCGCGUCCGUCUCCCUCUGGUGCAGCGGCGUGAACGCGAUCGUCGUCGUCCCGCUCUCCAGCUCCGCCCACCUUAUAAUUCAUUACACGUCACACGCAUCAGGAAGUACUUUCAAGCAGCCAGUUAAAAAUUUAAGACGGGGAAAAAAAAUAUUAACCGAGGAUGGUUUACUUGUGGGAUUGGUCGAGGCGGCGGACGGUGUAGCCGAACGCGGCGGAGUAGAAGGCGGCCGACUUGGCGACGUCCUUGACGUAGACGACGGUGUAGGCGAACGCCGGGCUCACGGCGCCUUCGGAGGCCAUGACACUCGCCUGCUGAGGUUUGUCACGUACGGCCUGAAGACGACGCUUGUGUUGUGCAGUGCAGUGUUCGGUCUUUCCUGGAGCCCACGAGCUCCCAUUUGUGCGUGCGGGCGCAGCCGCCAGAGUCGGCAGACCGGGGAGGUGGCGCGCAUGCACGCGGUGACCACUCCUCCUGCCUCCACGUACGUUUGCCUCUGGCUUUCCCUGCUCAUUGCUCAUCGUCAUCGUCAUCGGUGAGGAUGUCUCCGGCCGGUUCGGGCCGAGCAAGCAGCAGGUUGCACGGCCCACACAUGUAAGGCCUGUCACGUAUGGGCUCGGAGAACGGUUUCUUUAGCAGGCCGAAUAUCCAGGCCCUUUUUCACUUUUUGCCAAACACUCAACUGGGCCGCAGCAUCCUCAACUGCAGCUGCAAGGGUGAACAUCUGACCUAGCUAGAUAGAUGCUGCCAUAGUGCCAUGGCAUAUUGGCAUGGAGUCGACGGGAUGAGGUCAAGAUAGUGGACGUCGUUGGCUCGUUGCAAGUUGCAACUGGCCAAUCGUGCUAUAGAAAUCGGUGCUGAUUGGGCGGUAUAUCCGGUUGGAUCGCUCCUAACUCCGAAAUUUUGUUAGGUAUGUCACGUCGUUUCCGCAACUAGUUCAUCGUCCUGCCGAUAUAUCUGGCACUAAGUUUGGACUUUGGGGCUAUGUACGUAAGCAGCAAACUCUAUCUUCAAAGCAUCCCAGCACACGCCAAUAGCAGGCAUUAUAUGUGACUCCAGAGCGAACCGCCAAGGCACAGUUUGUAAAGAUUUGACCAGACCGAAGUCGUUAUAAUACUCCCUCCGUUUCACAAUGUAAGUCUAGCAUUUCCCACAUUUAUAUUGAUGUUAAUGAAUCUAAAUAUAUAUAUCUAUCUAAAUUCAUUAACAUAAAUAUGAAUAUGAGAAAUGCUAGAAUAACUUACAUUGUGAAACGGAGAAAGUACAUUUAAAGUUCACCCCCGUAGUUUUCAUGACCUGUACAUGCUCCGUUCAAUUUUGGCAGAAGUUGUGGAACGUACAGCCAUAUAUCUAAUUAUUAUUACUCCGUAAGGAGACUAACUAAGGAGAUACAUGGUGGAUUAAUAUGACACACUAUCUAAGCUUCUAAAUGGUGUUAUUUUUUAAAAACACUUAUAUAUAUAUAUAUGAAUUUUUAAAAAACUAUUAUGUGUUCAUUUUUCAACUUUGUAUUACUUAGUUCAUUCAUUUGUACCUUAAUAGUAAUCACAAAAUCACUCAACCAUUCAUCUAUUCAGCAAAUAAAAACAUAGUGCAAAAGGGCAUGAUCGAUCAGAUGGUGACACACACAGUAAGAUGUAGCUAGAGCGCCAUUUUCAAUCUGCUAAAUCAAUUCAGUUGGAGAGCGCAAGAACCGAUCGAGUAGUGAUCAACUGAUCAUUAAACGAUUUCUUAUAUAUAACGUUAUGAGAUCAGGGAUUAGCGACAGUUCGAUUUAUAGUUUAGGGUGUGCGUGCAUCUCUCAUGUAUUUUUUUUCUAAAGAAAAUAUUAAGACUAGGGAGAGAAGAAA